GUGCAAGCUUCAAGUUCAUUAUCAACAAAGCAUAUGUUUAAAAAAUGAGGAUAAUUAAUCUCCUAAACAUAAAUUAGGGAAAUUAGACAGUAACAUAAAGCAUAAAGCAUAGCCUAAAAAUCAAUUCGAAAUCAAAAGUAAAAAAGAAAAAAAAAACGCUAACCUUGGAGACCGGGAGAGGGAGAGGAGGCGGAGACCGGGAGAGGGAGAGGGAGGAGGCGGAGACCCAGAGAGGGAUCGAAGAGGAGGCGGAGACCCAGAGAGGGAUCGGAAAGGAGGCGGAGACCGAGAGAGGGAGAGAGAGGAGGUGGAGACCGGGAGAGGGAGAGGAGGCGGAGGAGGCAGACCGGGAGAAGGAGAGGAGGCGGAAGAGGAGGCUAGGGUUUUUCUGUUGUCGAGCGCUGGGUGUUCGUCUCUAUACCCGACAACUUUAGCCGACGAAAUUAUUAUUUCAUCGGCUAAGAUCAAAUUCGUCGGCUAAACCUUUUAAAUUCGUCGGCUAAACCUUUGAAAUUCGUCGGCUAUAGUACUUUUUAUACAUUCGGAAAAUUGUGAUUAUGAUGAUCAAACUUGAGAAACUAAAAUCCGACCGUCAGAUCUGACCAUCAUGAUAAAAUACAUGUAUGGGAAAAAAUUCAACUUGAUCCGACAAGGUUAAGGGCUCGAUCCGGACGGUCAAUCCUUUAAGUCAAACCCCUAAAAGCACGGAAAAGGUCGUUGGACUGUCUAAAUUUCGUAUUUUGGCCGGACCUUCAACUAAAAAUAGUUUGAAAUCGAUAAAACGCAACAAGUCGUAUAAAAAUUUUACGCAAAAUAACCACCGAAGAUAGGGCUACUCAUAAGGAGAAAGAAUGAAAAAUUGCAUUAACCGCAACUAUCAGCACCGAAACUUUACCGGAAUACUGUGAUUUUUCAACCGUGGAUGUAUUUCACCAUUCUGGUCAUAUCUUAUUUCACAACUUCUUUGCGUUUGAAGGUUUUACGUAUAGUUUGUUUUUGAAACCGAACAUUUACUUGACACUUAGUAAACAAGUUAUACAACAUUAGUAGGCAUGUUGUGAUUGUGAUGAUCAAACUUGAGAAACAGAAAUCUGACCGUCAGAUCUGACCAUCAUGACAAAAUACAUGUAUGGGCAAAAAUUCAACUUGAUCCGACAAGGUUAAGGGCUCGAUCCAGACGGUCAAUCUCGUAAGCCAAACCCCUAAAUGCACGGAAAAGGUAAUUGGACCGUCUAAAUUUCGUAUUUUGCCCGGACCUUCAACUGAAAAUAGUUUCAAANNNNN
RNAcentral lists this long non-coding RNA (1284 nucleotides) under Fragaria vesca (wild strawberry). Its description in RNAcentral is "long non-coding RNA (FVES_LNC001548)". Lineage: Eukaryota; Viridiplantae; Streptophyta; Magnoliopsida; Rosales; Rosaceae. The record is from RNAcentral.